UCGUAACAAGGUUUCCGUAGGUGAACCUGCGGAAGGAUCAUUACCUAGAGUUUGUGGGCUUUGCCUGCUAUCUCUUACCCAUGUCUUUUGAGUACUUACGUUUCCUCGGUGGGUUCGCCCGCCGAUUGGACAAUUUAAACCCUUUGCAGUUGCAAUCAGCGUCUGAAAAACAUAAUAGUUACAACUUUCAACAACGGAUCUCUUGGUUCUGGCAUCGAUGAAGAACGCAGCGAAAUGCGAUAAGUAGUGUGAAUUGCAGAAUUCAGUGAAUCAUCGAAUCUUUGAACGCACAUUGCGCCCCUUGGUAUUCCAUGGGGCAUGCCUGUUCGAGCGUCAUUUGUACCUUCAAGCAUUGCUUGGUGUUGGGUGUUUGUCUCGCCUUUGCGUGUAGACUCGCCUUAAAACAAUUGGCAGCCGGCGUAUUGAUUUCGGAGCGCAGUACAUCUCGCGCUUUGCACUCAUAACGACGACGCCCAAAAGUACAUUUUAACACUCUUGACCUCGGAUCAGGUAGGGAUACCCGCUGAACUUAAGCAUAUCAAUAA
This 545-nucleotide unclassified non-coding RNA is filed under the name Phoma herbarum. RNAcentral describes it as "sequence contains 18S rRNA gene, ITS1, 5.8S rRNA gene, ITS2, 28S rRNA gene". The stretch from base 183 to 336 matches the Rfam family "5.8S ribosomal RNA". Lineage: Eukaryota; Fungi; Ascomycota; Dothideomycetes; Pleosporales; Didymellaceae. The record is from RNAcentral.